RNAcentral lists this ribosomal RNA (480 nucleotides) under uncultured bacterium. Its description in RNAcentral is "partial 16S ribosomal RNA". It matches the Rfam family "Bacterial small subunit ribosomal RNA", at positions 28 to 523 of the family's 1533-position model. The record is from RNAcentral.
GAUGAACGCUGGCGGCGUGCCUAACACAUGCAAGUCGAACGAUGAAACCGCCUCCGGGCGGACAUGAAGUGGCGAACGGGUGAGUAACACGUGACCGACCUGCCCCCCGCCCAGGGACAGCCCCCCGAAAGGGGGAUUAAUACCUGGUACUCCGGAAGCGGCGCAUGCCGCCCCCGGGAAAGCUCUGGCGGCGGGGGAUGGGGUCGCGGCCCAUCAGGUAGACGGCGGGGCAGAGGCCCACCGUGCCGACGACGGGUAGCCGGGUUGAGAGACCGACCGGCCACAUUGGGACUGAGAUACGGCCCAGACUCCUACGGGAGGCAGCAGUGGGGAAUUUUGCGCAAUGGGGGCAACCCUGACGCAGCAACGCCGCGUGCGGGACGAAGGCGUCCGCGUCGUAAACCGCUUUCAGCGGGGAACACUUUUCGAGGGUACCCGCAGAAGAAGCCCCGGCUAAAUACGUGCCAGCCGCCGCUGUAA